GUGAAUCAUCAAAUUUUUGAACGCAAAUUGCACUCUCCUCGGAGAGUAUGCCUGUGUGAGGGUCAGCCUAUAAAAAAUCGACAUCGUGGCUGGUUCGCGAUUGCUGUCGUCUGAAGUGGGUUCAUCUAUAAUCUUUUUGUUUUAUGCGACUUAAAAUUUUCAUUUGUUUUCAUGAAUUUUUCUAAUAGUUAUUUCUUUACAUGUUUAAUUUAUCGUUUUGUAUUAGACGUGAUCAUCAUAUCGG
Molecule: unclassified non-coding RNA, 244 nt
Filed under: Glomeromycota sp.
Lineage: Eukaryota; Fungi; Glomeromycota
Description: partial contains 5.8S ribosomal RNA and internal transcribed spacer 2
Rfam family: 5.8S ribosomal RNA (bases 1-65)
Source: RNAcentral